UAAUGCUGGAGAUUGUACAGGCCAUCUAUAAGAUGGUUUCUUCAGUGAUGAAGAUGCCAGAGGACGAGUCCACACCUGAGAAACGCACGGAUAAGAUCUUCCGCCAGAUGGACACAAAUCGUGAUGGUAAGCUGUCACUCGAAGAGUUUGUGGAGGGUGCAAAGAGCGACCCGUCCAUCGUGCGACUGUUGCAGUGCGACCCCAGCAGUGCGGGACAGUGAAUCAGCAGUCAUAACCUCUCUUCCGCAAGUCUUUCCGUGUUCGCUCUCCUUCAAAUAUCAGCAGAGCAUGGACUCCAAAACCACAGCCCUAUCUCAGUGUCUGUGGGUUUCCCGCUGAACACCACGCAUGAGAACAUUAUUUCCCCACAGACACAGAUCAGGUAACGGUGAGAACCGGACAUACAGAGAUCAUACACAAGAAGCUUGUGUUCAUGCGUCUCUCUGUAUUUUGAAUUCCUCAUAUAAGGCUUUUUGCGAUUUAACACAACAGGCAGUGAUGCAAGGGACAUCACAUCCUGUUGUAAGCUUUUGGUACUGAAAUAAACCCCUUCGAAAAGAGCUUUAAAUAAUAACAGAGAGGGAGUCGAAGCUAAAUUUUCCAAGAGUGCAAAAUGCACCAGAUAAUGUGACACUUUGUCAAACUUUCGAAAAACAGCAAAAUAUAGCUUAUUUAAGAAUUUAAUCAAUUAAAUCAUUUUACACAAACAAUGACAAAUGUCAUUCCUAGUGUUCCCAGUAUUUCAGUUCCAUUCAGCACAAACAUCUAUUUAAAAGAGAGUCACUUGGGCGACAUAUCAGUUUUUUUACUUAAAUGU
Long non-coding RNA from Sinocyclocheilus rhinocerous, 817 nucleotides. RefSeq lists it as uncharacterized. The transcript has 3 exons. The record is from RefSeq and is a predicted model, not a curated record. NCBI's taxonomy places the organism in Eukaryota, Metazoa, Chordata, Actinopteri, Cypriniformes, Cyprinidae.